CGAAGGGGGCUAGCGUUGUUCGGAAUUACUGGGCGUAAAGCGCGCGUAGGCGGUUUUGCAAGCCAGAGGUGAAAUGCCUGAGCUCAACUUAGGAAUUGCCUUUGGGACUGCGAGGCUUUGAGGACUGGAGAGGUGAGUGGAAUUCCCAGUGUAGAGGUGAAAUUCGUAGAUAUUGGGAAGAACACCGGUGGCGAAGGCGGCUCACUGGCCAGUUUCUGACGCUGCAGCGCGAAAGCGUGGGGAUCAAACAGGAUUAGAUACCCUGGUAGUCCACGCUGUAAACGAUGAGUGCUAGGCGUCGGCAAGCUUGCUUGUCGGUGCCGCAGCUAACGCGUGAAGCACUCCGCCUGGGGAGUACGGUCGCAAGAUUA
RNAcentral lists this ribosomal RNA (371 nucleotides) under uncultured organism. RNAcentral's name for it is "bacterial SSU rRNA". It matches the Rfam family "Bacterial small subunit ribosomal RNA", at positions 526 to 896 of the family's 1533-position model. The record is from RNAcentral.